RNAcentral lists this ribosomal RNA (339 nucleotides) under Triticum aestivum (bread wheat). RNAcentral's name for it is "partial small subunit ribosomal RNA". The record is from RNAcentral. Lineage: Eukaryota; Viridiplantae; Streptophyta; Magnoliopsida; Poales; Poaceae.
AUGCUAAUGAAAGCUGCUGGCCAUAAGCUGAUUGAAGGCAUGUGCCCUGAGAUCUGCCCUGGGGGGAUUAUUUGUCUUCAAUAUGCUGAUGACACUAUCCUAUUCCUAGACAAGAACUUGGAGCACACUAAAAAUCUUAAGAUGGUGCUCUCUUGCUUUGAACAGAUCUCUGGCAUGAGGAUUAAUUAUAGCAAGAGUGAGCUCAUCCCUAUUAACUUGGAUGAUGGUGAAGUGGGUGAUUACUUAGACACCAUGGAGUGCUCUAGAGGUUCUUUCCCUAUUAAGUAUCUAGGAAUAGAUCUACACUAUGAUAAGCUUAGGAGAGAGGAUAUCCAACCA